AGUGGUAAAAACUUCGCUUUUUGGUAUGUUGCACAAACAGCCCCCACUGCCAAGUGAGUCAGAACUUCCGAACAGCAUAAUUUUAGUGCCCUUCUUGUGGUUCUCUCUCUGGGCUGCUUCUGAAAGGAAGGUCUCAGGGCGGGGUUUCCUGUGUUCAAUUCCAGAGAUGACAAAGGGGCUUUUCCCCCAAUCCUUUGCCAGAUUUUUUUUCCAGAUAGGUUUUCAUGUCCACCCCCUUCUGUAGCUGCAGGUAAUGCUGAGGACUAAGGCACUGUGGACUUCCUAGUUGCAAACUGCCCCAUCCCUUCGUAUUGCUCACUCAACUUCUGUUUUUCUUCCAUAUGGACUACUUUGGAGAGGAAAAAGACUGGCAUCAAAUAAAAAAUAGGGUUCUGUUUUUGAUGUAAUGUUUAUGUCAGGCUUAAGAAAAGUAAUGGAUGGCCGGGCAUGGUGGCUCACACCUGUAAUUCCAGCACUUUGGGAGGCCAACCGGUCGGAUCUCUUGAGGUCAGGAAUUCGAGACCAGGCUGGCCAACAUGGUGAAACCCUGUCUCUACUAAAAAUACAAAAAAUUAGCUGAGCGUGGUGGUGCAUGUCUGUAGUCCCAGGUAUUCAAGUGGCUGAGGCACGAGAAUUGCUUGAAUCGGGGAGGUGGAGGUUGCAGUGAGUCAAGUUUGCACCACUGCACUCCAGCCUGGGUGAUAGCGCGAGACUCUGUCUAAGAAAAGCAAUGGAAUGGGAGAGUAUUCUGAAAAGCAGCAAGCCCUGUAAAGCCCAAGAUAAUAACAAUCACGUUGAUAAUAAUAAAACUAUCUGCACAGUAUUUUGCAUUUCAUAAAAUAUGUUUAUCACAUGUGUUUUCACCCAUGAAAAAUUGUUACUAUCCCCAUCUAACAUGAGAAAAACCAAUGUUGUAAGAGGUCACAUUCAGUGUAAGAUUACACUGUAUGUGUACACUGUAUGUGUAAGUCAGUCUUACAUUGUAAGAUUCACUCAGCUAAAUAAGUAGCAAAGCUUGACCAGGAAAGUGAAUAUCUCCCCUGCUCUGAACUGGUGCUCUGCACUGCACCAGCAGCAGGAGGGACAGUUCGUCUCUGUGCACCAUGGUGCCCUGACACAGAAUUACUACACCCCGACCUUCUUGGAGGUAGUAGUCUGUGCCUCAUUCGUCCUCGUAUUCCCAGAGGCUGGCACAUAGUAGAUACGCAGGAAUGUUUGACGAAAGACUGAAUAGCUGUGUGCCAGAAACUGCAGCAGUCAUACCAUUCCCAGAACCAUAACAUAACAGCUCACCUGAGCUGGGUGCUCAAAUACCAGGCACAAAACCAUACAAGAUAAGCUCCUAUUAUUAGAUCUAUUUAACAGAAAAGGAAACCAAGUAUGAGUAAUCAGCUGAAAGUUGCAAAUUGGGCACUUUGUCACUAGAGCCUGAGCUCCCAACUAUACUCAGCCAUCUCUUCCUGCAGGACAUGGAGUUACCGCGGCCUGCUCCACCCUCGGAGCAGCCUGGGGGAGCCAUCUCUCUCCUUGUGCAAAUCACCUGCCCGCUUUGUGCCUUGGUUUCCCUUGUCAGGCGAAACUCAUUAAACUUUUCCUAACUACCUGGAGGAUGUUUGCAGAGAUUUA
This is a long non-coding RNA of Macaca fascicularis (crab-eating macaque), 1626 nucleotides long. NCBI's taxonomy places the organism in Eukaryota, Metazoa, Chordata, Mammalia, Primates, Cercopithecidae. The record is from Ensembl.